RNAcentral lists this ribosomal RNA (468 nucleotides) under uncultured bacterium. Its description in RNAcentral is "partial 16S ribosomal RNA". It matches the Rfam family "Bacterial small subunit ribosomal RNA", at positions 28 to 507 of the family's 1533-position model. The record is from RNAcentral.
GACGAACGCUGGCGGUGUGCUUAACACAUGCAAGUCGAACGGUAAGGCCCUUUCGGGGGUACACGAGUGGCGAACGGGUGAGUAACACGUGAGUAACCUGCCCUCAUCUCUGGGAUAACAGUCGGAAACGGUUGCUAAUACUGGAUAUGAGCUUGCAAGGCAUCUUGUGGGUUGGAAAGAUUUUUUUUGGUUGGGGAUGGACUCGCGGCCUAUCAGCUUGUUGGUGAGGUAGUGGCUCACCAAGGCUUCGACGGGUAGCCGGCCUGAGAGGGCGACCGGCCACACUGGGACUGAGAUACGGCCCAAACUCCUACGGGAGGCAGCAGUGGGGAAUAUUGCACAAUGGACGGAAGUCUGAUGCAGCAACGCCGCGUGCGGGAUGACGGCCUUCGGGUUGUAAACCGCUUUCAAUUGUGACGAAGCUUUUUUGUGACGGUAGCAGUAGAAGAAGCACCGGCUAACUACGUG